Long non-coding RNA from Carassius auratus (goldfish), 818 nucleotides. RefSeq lists it as uncharacterized. NCBI's taxonomy places the organism in Eukaryota, Metazoa, Chordata, Actinopteri, Cypriniformes, Cyprinidae. The record is from RefSeq and is a predicted model, not a curated record. The transcript is spliced from 3 exons.
CGCAGUUUUCAUGCUUUGGUAGAUCUCUUCCUGAAACCGUGUGUGAGCUGUGAGCAAUUGCUGUAGAGCAUCAACUGUGAGCACGAGAGGAGCAGCCUCAGUCGGGUUGUUGUUGUUUGAAACUCCGGUUGGUUUUUGUUAUUUUGAUCACUACGAGAGAAAUAGACGAAUCAAAGAUGGCGAGCCCAGCCCAGAGUGAUGGUGGAUGGUCGUGAGAACGGUGUGGCCAGCCGUGGGACCAGCCACCGAAGACGUCGGACUAGUUUCGUUCAGACAGGAUACAGAUAAGAAUACACUUACGCUAUUAACUCUACCCGGGUAGUAGUACUGGACUUAAUAUACACACACACAAAAGGACCAGGAACUAAACUCUGAACUCAAUUUCAUACUCCUCGACUUAAAGGAGCAGUGAGCUGAAGUGUCAGCUCACAGGGACAUUUUCCUUUCCUUUUAUUAUUGAAAGAGCUCUAUUUUUGUUUUAUUUUAUUUUCAUUCUUGGUACAUUAUAGUACUGUGUUCAUUGUUGUGUCCCUUAAUGUAAUAAAACUGUCAACUGUUCAACUCAUUACUAACUCUUUUGUGAGUCACUCAAGGCAGACCACACCCCGGACCUAGAUAGAUGUUAGUUGCCCUGUUCUGGUAUUGGUUAGCACUAGGGGGCGCUACACAAACUUGGCGAGCCAGCCAGGAGUGGUUUUGAGUCCUUAUUUAGUGAAAGUUGAGCAGUUUGGCACUUCUAUUGCAUUUCAUCUUUGAACACUGGAAAUUUGCCUGAAUUUAUCUUGCUGUCAAAGGGUAAAUAUGGAUAUAAUUCAAUC